CUACGGGGGGCAGCAGUGGGGAAUAUUGGACAAUGGGCGAAAGCCUGAUCCAGCCAUGCCGCGUGUGUGAAGAAGGCCUUCGGGUUGUAAAGCACUUUCAGUGGGGAAGAAAGCCUUGGGGCUAAUACCCUCGAGGAAGGACAUCACCCACAGAAGAAGCACCGGCUAACUCCGUGCCAGCAGCCGCGGUAAUACGGAGGGUGCGAGCGUUAAUCGGAAUUACUGGGCGUAAAGCGCGCGUAGGCGGUCUGAUAAGCCGGUUGUGAAAGCCCCGGGCUCAAUCUGGGAACGGCAUCCGGAACUGUCAGGCUAGAGUGCAGGAGAGGAAGGUAGAAUUCCCGGUGUAGCGGUGAAAUGCGUAGAGAUCGGGAGGAAUACCAGUGGCGAAGGCGGCCUUCUGGACUGACACUGACGCUGAGGUGCGAAAGCGUGGGUAGCAAACAGGAUUAGAUCCCCAGUAGUC
This 463-nucleotide ribosomal RNA is filed under the name Vreelandella stevensii. RNAcentral's name for it is "partial 16S ribosomal RNA". It matches the Rfam family "Bacterial small subunit ribosomal RNA", at positions 339 to 795 of the family's 1533-position model. The record is from RNAcentral. Lineage: Bacteria; Pseudomonadati; Pseudomonadota; Gammaproteobacteria; Oceanospirillales; Halomonadaceae.